Molecule: long non-coding RNA, 239 nt
Filed under: Bos taurus (domestic cattle)
Lineage: Eukaryota; Metazoa; Chordata; Mammalia; Artiodactyla; Bovidae
Description: long non-coding RNA NONBTAT006783
Source: RNAcentral
AAUCUUUGGAGUUGGGACUGUAGUAGUGGCAUUUUUUCCACUGCCUCAGUCACUCUACUUGGCUUUGGCAGUGGCUACUGGCUUUUGUUUCCUGCUGUGUGAUCAUAAACUAUAGUUAUGCCUAGUUCUGCCACUGGCACUGGCACUCAAGAUGACUUUGGUGAUUGACACUAGGCACAUAACUCUCGUCUGUGAGUGCACAGAGUUACAGCAUUCCCAGUGGCAGCCAUCUCUUGCUU